AGUCAUAUGCUUGUCUCAAAGAUUAAGCCAUGCAUGUCUAAGUAUAACCGUUAUACUGGGAAACUGCGAAUGGCUCAUUAAAUCAGUUAUAGUUUAUUUGAUGGUACCUUACUACUCGGAUAACCGUAGUAAUUCUAGAGCUAAUACGUGCGUAAAUCUCGACUUCGGAAGAGACGUAUUUAUUAGAUUAAAGACCAACCCUUCGGGACCGUUGGUGAUUCAUAAUAACUGGACGAAUCGCAUGGGCUUGCCCCGGCGAUGUUUCAUUUCAAAUUUCUGCCCUAUCACGUUUCGAUGGUAGUAUAGAGGACUACCAUGCGAGUAACGGGUGACGGAGAAU
This 340-nucleotide ribosomal RNA is filed under the name uncultured eukaryote. RNAcentral's name for it is "SSU rRNA". It matches the Rfam family "Eukaryotic small subunit ribosomal RNA", at positions 22 to 370 of the family's 1831-position model. The record is from RNAcentral.